RNAcentral lists this transfer RNA (73 nucleotides) under Trichonephila clavata. It matches the Rfam family "tRNA". Rfam says of the family: Transfer RNA (tRNA) molecules are approximately 80 nucleotides in length. Their secondary structure includes four short double-helical elements and three loops (D, anti-codon, and T loops). Lineage: Eukaryota; Metazoa; Arthropoda; Arachnida; Araneae; Nephilidae. The record is from Rfam by way of RNAcentral.
GUCCCUGUAGUGCAAUGGAUAGCGCGUUGGACUUCUAAUCCAAAGGUCGUAGGUUCGAGUCCCACCAGAAAUG